GACAGAGGUGCCAAGCGUUAGGCGGAAUCACUGGGCUUAAAGCGUGUGUAGGCGGAUCGUUAAGUACCUUGUGAAAUCCCACGGCUCAACCGUGGAACUGCUGGGUAUACUGGCGAUCUUGAGCCACCUAGGGGCGAGCGGAACAAGCGGUGGGGCGGUGAAAUGCGUAGAUAUCGCUUGGAACGCCAACGGUGAAAACAGCUCGCUGGGGGUGUGCUGACGCUGAGACACGAAAGCCAGGGGAGCGAACGGG
This 253-nucleotide ribosomal RNA is filed under the name uncultured bacterium. Its description in RNAcentral is "partial 16S ribosomal RNA". It matches the Rfam family "Bacterial small subunit ribosomal RNA", at positions 524 to 776 of the family's 1533-position model. The record is from RNAcentral.